This 488-nucleotide long non-coding RNA is filed under the name Chrysemys picta bellii (western painted turtle). RNAcentral describes it as "lncRNA (ENSCPBG00000007071.1)". Lineage: Eukaryota; Metazoa; Chordata; Testudines; Emydidae. The record is from RNAcentral.
UUUCAGGAAAGAGAGUCAUAAGUGCGCACCCGUGAAAUGCAGGUGCUGAAUAAAAAUUCCACCACAGUAUGCAUGAGCGAUCUGUUUUCUGUAUUAACCCAUUAGAUGCUGGGACCUGGGUCACAAUCCACAGAGUGAAUAUCUCCGGCAUUUCUUCUCUAGGGAUGCCAACAGGACUACUAUGAGGUGAAAUACAUAGUAACUUCCCCAUUUUAACUGCAAUUUUGGCCAGACUGCCAGGGAGUUGGGACAGCCAAGGAGAGUUUCCAAAGAUCAUAGGUCUUAAAGGGUCUUUGACUGCAUGUGAUACUUUUUUGCAUCUGGUAAUAUAUGCUGACCAUGGUCCUACAUGAAGUGUUAUAGUAGCACCAAACCUCUCCUCCACUGCUUCCUGGGAUUACCUGUAGCCCCAGUUGUAAAUGAGUGAGUCAGUCACAACUGGAGACCCUACUUUGAUAACAACUUCACAGAUAUACAAGUUAUAGAUC